CCGCAGGGGAAUGGGUUAUUCGAACACGCGCAGAACCUUACCAGCCCUUGACAUCCCGGUCGCGGACAGGAGAGAUCCUGUCCUUCAGUUCGGCUGGACCGGUGACAGGUGCUGCAUGGCUGUCGUCAGCUCGUGUCGUGAGAUGUUGGGUUAAGUCCCGCAACGAGCGCAACCCUCGCCCUUAGUUGCCAGCAUUUGGUUGGGCACUCUAAGGGGACUGCCGGUGAUAAGCCGAGAGGAAGGUGGGGAUGACGUCCAGUCCUCAUGGCCCUUACUGGCUGGGCUACACCCGUGGCAAAAUGGUGGUGACAGGGGGCAACCAGACCCCCAGGUACAACUAAUCCUCCAAAACCUUAUUCACUUCCAUAAUGGCUCUUUACAACCCGUGAACAUGAAUUAAAAAUUCAUAGUGACCGUAGCUCACUAUGAAACAUCCGAAUAUGUCCCCGGCAUCUUGUAAUCCAAACUUCUAUAAAUUUCUUUCUGUUUCCUUAAUUAUU
RNAcentral lists this ribosomal RNA (500 nucleotides) under Sinorhizobium sp. AS017. RNAcentral's name for it is "bacterial SSU rRNA". The stretch from base 6 to 398 matches the Rfam family "Bacterial small subunit ribosomal RNA", at positions 934 to 1326 of the family's 1533-position model. Lineage: Bacteria; Pseudomonadati; Pseudomonadota; Alphaproteobacteria; Hyphomicrobiales; Rhizobiaceae. The record is from RNAcentral.